This 439-nucleotide ribosomal RNA is filed under the name uncultured bacterium. Its description in RNAcentral is "partial 16S ribosomal RNA". It matches the Rfam family "Bacterial small subunit ribosomal RNA", at positions 339 to 795 of the family's 1533-position model. The record is from RNAcentral.
CUACGGGCCGCAGCAGUGAGGAAUAUUGCACAAUGGGGGGAACCCUGAUGCAGCAACGCCGCGUGGAGGAUGACGCAUUUCGGUGUGUAAACUCCUUUUAUAUGUCAAGAAAAUGACGGUAGCAUAUGAAUAAGCACCGGCUAACCCCGUGCCAGCAGCCGCGGUAAUACGGAGGGUGCAAGCGUUACUCGGAAUCACUGGGCGUAAAGGACGCGUAGGCGGGUUGGAAAGUCAGGUGUGAAAUCCUACAGCUUAACUGUAGAACUGCACUUGAAACUUCUAAUCUAGAGUAUGGGAGGGGGAGAUGGAAUUAGUGGUGUAGGGGUAAAAUCCGUAGAUAUCACUAGGAAUACCUAAAGCGAAGGCGAUCUCCUGGAACAUUACUGACGCUAAGGCGUGAAAGCGUGGGGAGCAAACAGGAUUAGAUACCCCAGUAGUC